CCAGUUAGAAGACAAUAUCUUGCC
RNAcentral lists this non-coding RNA (24 nucleotides) under Arabidopsis thaliana (thale cress). Lineage: Eukaryota; Viridiplantae; Streptophyta; Magnoliopsida; Brassicales; Brassicaceae. The record is from RNAcentral.